GGAAUCUUGGACAAUGGGCGCAAGCCUGAUCCAGCCAUGCCGCGUGAGUGACGAAGGCCUUAGGGUUGUAAAACUCUUUCGUCGGGGACGAUAAUGACGGUACCCGAAGAAGAAGCCCCGGCUAACUUCGUGCCAGCAGCCGCGGUAAUACGAAGGGGGCUAGCGUUGUUCGGAAUUACUGGGCGUAAAGCGCACGUAGGCGGAUUGUUUAGUGAGGGGUGAAAUCCCAGGGCUCAACCCUGGAACUGCCUCUCAUACUGGCAAUCUCGAGUCCGGAAGAGGUGAGUGGAAUUCCGAGUGUAGAGGUGAAAUUCGUAGAUAUUCGGAGGAACACCAGUGGCGAAGGCGGCUCACUGGUCCGGUACUGACGCUGAGGUGCGAAAGCGUGGGGAGCAAAC
RNAcentral lists this ribosomal RNA (398 nucleotides) under uncultured bacterium. RNAcentral describes it as "bacterial SSU rRNA". It matches the Rfam family "Bacterial small subunit ribosomal RNA", at positions 358 to 773 of the family's 1533-position model. The record is from RNAcentral.